AGUUUAUGAACUUGUAUAAGUAUAUAUUUUGAAAAUAUAAAAAAGAGUUGAAUCUCUAUUAACUU
This 65-nucleotide transfer RNA is filed under the name Cyclommatus strigiceps vitalisi. Its description in RNAcentral is "tRNA-Ser". Lineage: Eukaryota; Metazoa; Arthropoda; Insecta; Coleoptera; Lucanidae. The record is from RNAcentral.